UAUACAUUUACGUCUAAAAGAAGGAAUGUGGUCCCCAUUUUUAUCUCUUUGUUUGUGUGGUGAUGUGUUUCCCACAGACGAUUGAUACGUAAGCAGAGUGUGACACUUAAGGGGCCCAUCCUUAAGGUCCUUAAAUCAAAGUAUGUUGUGGGUGUAGGUGUGUACAGCGUUCCUGGGAAGAGGUUUUAUUAGAGUAGAUUCUAAGCCGGCAGACAGUAGUAUAUAAUUUUGUUUUUGUGAGAUGCGAGAUCCUUUUUUUUACCUGUUUGUAUGUCGUUCUUAUGAUGUAUUGGGAGAUCAACGUUUCUGAAGCUGGAGAUUGGCAUCCCUUUGUUUGCUAUUUUCUGGAAUUUUUUGUUAAUGUCAGUCUUUAGUUUUCUUCUGCUUCUGUUUUUGGUUGAUGAACGUUUGCUUUAUUUAUAUGUCUUCGUGUUAUGUGAAGCUAUUAUUAAUGAGUUUAAGAACCGAUCUCCGUGAUUGUUUCUGAUUGAUUUGUGUUUUUUUUUUUGGGAGGCAAAUAUUGGGUUUUUGAUUUUUCAUGUUUCUCAUAAUUUUCACUAUAUUUAAAUGGCAUAGAAAGGGAUCUUUGUGAAGCUAUUAUUAAUGAGUUUAAGAACCGAGUGAUUGUUUCUGAUUGAUUUGUGUUCUUUUUUGGGAGGCAAAUAUUGAGUUUUUGAUUUUUCAUGUUUCUCAUGAUUUUCACUAUAUUUAAAUGACAUAGAAAGGGAUAUUUGUUUCCCAUAUUUGUUUAAUUUGUAUUGUAGAUUGUUUAGAUUCUGAAUUUGGUAGGUACUUUAUACAGCUAAAGGAAAUGCAUGCCUUUUUGUUAAUUAGUAGAUCCUAUAUAUUGGGUGACCACUAUCACAGCUGGUACGAAUCAUUGUACGGUAAUGGGUAUAUUACGUUCAUUUGUUUUGUGGGGGUGUUAAUAAGAUUUUAUGUAUAAGUCAUUUGUGGGUUUCAUUUGGGCCACCGAUAAUUGCUUGUAUAAGUAUUAAUAAGUUUUGUUGACUUAUUAGUGGUGCUGACGUGGCAUCCUCCCAGAACAUAUUAUUUUGGCUGAUGUGGAUACCCUGAGGAACCUCAAACUUCUCCUUUUAUUAUAGUAGAUUCAAAGAUUGUCUACUACCACUGUUUUUUUAGUGAUUCAAAAAAGGAAUGAUUUUUGAAUGGUAAAUGAAAAAUAGAAUAAACUGAAAAGGUCAAGAAAGCAAUAGUAUUUUAUUUUAUUUUUUGGGAAGAGAAAGCGUGGAUAGAAAAUAGAGAAGAUAAAUGUGUAAAGAGAAAAGUAGAGCAAAAAGCAUCUCCUUUAUAUAAAAGGGAUUGAUUUUCUGGUCUCUUAGUUAUGAUUUCCUGGUCUCUCAGCUAUACCACAUCAGCAAAAAUAAUCAACAAAAUAAUCAGCCAAUGAGAACAUUUGAAAGUCACGCAUAACUAAGAAAACUUUAAUUACGUUAAAAGAGUGAUUGCAGAAUUAUGAAAUCAGGCCACUCAACACAGUAACACAGAAAAUUGAAUAGAAAGAAGCUCAUUAGAUAGAGACCCAAAACAUUAGCCCAAAACGAAAUCCAGAAUACAUUUGAGCUUCCCCACCUUUCUCUGCUUUCCUCAUACCCUAAAUUCACCGCAACAGUUUCCCCUCAAACGAUUCAUCUUCAUCCUAUCUCCAAAUCAGAUUCAACGAAAGGAAAGCUCAAACCAUAAGUCGUUACAAAAUACCUUCAAACUUAAUUUCUCUAACAAAGUAACUUCACACUUAAAUCACCCUUCAAACCUAAAUCCACGAUGGAGAAUCUCAAACAUCAAUCGUUCCUAAUAACUUCCACAUCACCGCCACUUCUCCAUCCUCUUUAUAUAAAUUCUGAUCCUUCCACCAAUACAAUUUACAACUCAUUUCUACCCAUCAUAUACUAUCACAGCCAUGGCAUCCUCUGAACCUGUUGGAGUAGUUAGAAAAACAAAGAGGUAAUCGAACAGACAUGAUGGCCAAUGAUCUGUUUUGUGUUUUGAAUUUUUUGAUAUAUUAUCUUCUUUAUAAAUUGCACCGAGCAUUAUUCAUCCGAACUUAAAAUAUUGUCAUCGCAAUUUCUUCACAUAAUUGUCAACACUUUUUUUGUCUAGUUUCGAAAACCCAAUCGGCAACUGUCAACACAAAUCCAGAAGACCAAUUCCAAGGCUUUCCCUCUUUGUAGUCUUAAUUAUUUUUGGAUCUGUGCUAUUCGAUCAAGCUAUUGAAAGGUCAAAAAUCGUUUUUUCGUCUUCUCAUCUUCUAAUCUUACAGAUUCAUUGGCGUCUCUUUGAGACAGAAAUGAGGCCAAAGAUUCUAUGUCUGACCUUAUUUUUAAUUUGAAGCAGUAUUAUCUUCACCCAUAAUCUGUUAUUACGAGUCCUCUUUACCUACGGGUAAGUUGAAAACAGGCGGCUACGAUUCAGUAGCUAGGUUAUUGGCUUUAAUUUCUUUACAGAAUUGAACAAUAUUGUCAUCUAUUACUCUACUUUGGAAUCAAAUUAUCAACCGUCAAAGUAAAUCUGAAUAUGUUCCUUACUUAUUUAUGCAGGUUUUCCAUAUCAGAUUGUUCUCAUGGUGCUUCAAAUCUCUACAGUACAACUAAGUCACUGCUAUAAUCAAAGAGUUCUGCUUUAAAUCUCUGAUCAUUAUAUCUUCUAGCCAGUUUCCAAUCUCUGGAGAGGCAGCAAAGCAAGAGCACGUGAUGAACGAUGGAACCAGCGGACGCCAUCUAGGUCUGCGGUUAGAUAUUUGGAUCUAUGAUGAUUUAUUUCAGUUUUAAUCUUUUCCAUGUCUCUGUUUUAGGUGAUUUAAUUUCUCAUUACAUUUGGUCGGUAAUGCAGUAGGAAAGACAAACUACCCUAUUAAAUUCAUUGGUUAUACUAACCUAUAUGGUUUUCUAUUACCAUAUGCCCUUAGAAGCUGCUAAGAAGAUGUAAGAUUUCGUCUACAAAACGUGUAAGGUGGAUUUUCUUAUUUGGUUUUAGC
RNAcentral lists this long non-coding RNA (2995 nucleotides) under Eutrema salsugineum. RNAcentral's name for it is "long non-coding RNA (ESAL_LNC001755)". Lineage: Eukaryota; Viridiplantae; Streptophyta; Magnoliopsida; Brassicales; Brassicaceae. The record is from RNAcentral.